This is a long non-coding RNA of Glycine soja, 522 nucleotides long. RefSeq lists it as uncharacterized. The record is from RefSeq and is a predicted model, not a curated record. NCBI's taxonomy places the organism in Eukaryota, Viridiplantae, Streptophyta, Magnoliopsida, Fabales, Fabaceae. The transcript is spliced from 2 exons.
AUGAAGAUAUGGAGGAAGCAUAAGGAAUAGUGAAACACGUAGUCCUCGCAAAGUUCAAUGACGACAUUGCCCCAGAGCGGAUUGAAGAGCUCAUCAAGAGUUUUGCCGAUCUAGUCAAUCUCAUUCCAUUGUGACUUGAUUAAAACAUUUCAAAGCAAUAUAUGAAUUAUGUACUAUAGGGGCAAGGAUGUAAGUGCUGAAAACAUGCAUCAAGGCUUCACUCAUGUGUUUGAAUCAGCCUUUGAGAGUACAGAAGGCCUUGCAGAGUAUGUAGCUCAUCCUGCCCAUGUUGAAUAUGCAAAUUUGCUCCUUCCUUGCCUGGAGAAAAUCGUUGCGAUUGACUACAAGCCUACCAUCGUUAACCUUUGAUUGGAGAAGUAAUGCCUCGUUCAUUGCUAGUGCUCUGAUAAAAACAAAUAUGGUUUCCACUCAAUAUUUGUAUGCACUAUAAAUUAUGCUCCCUCUUAUCAUACAUUGUUAUUCUCUGUUAUCUUGAUCUUGGCAAUCCUGAAAACCUUCUUG